GUACGAUAAUGGAGUUACCUUCUAGGCCACCGGAAUCCAUUCUUCUUGAAGACUUUGGUCAGAAGGUUGACCUCACACGGCGGAUCCGGGAGGUUCUUUUGAACUACCCGGAGGGAACCACGGUGCUCAAGGAGCUCAUACAGAAUGCCGACGACGCCGGCGCAACUAAGGUUCGCCUCUGCCUCGACCGCCGGCACCACGGCUCCGACUCCCUUUUAUCCAAUUCCUUGUCUCAGUGGCAGGGGCCGGCGCUCUUAGCCUACAACAACGCUGUUUUUACCGAGGAGGAUUUCGUCAGUAUUUCGAGAAUUGGCGGCAGUGCCAAGAACGGCCAGGCAUGGAAGACCGGCCGGUUCGGUGUUGGCUUCAAUUCAGUUUACCACUUGACAGAUUUGCCUUCGUUUGUGAGCGGCAAGUACGUGGUGUUAUUCGAUCCCCAGGGAGCUUAUCUUCCAAAUAUUUCAACGUCAAAUCCUGGAAAGAGAAUUGAUUUUGUUUCCUCGUCGGCGAUCGCCCUUUAUAAAGACCAAUUCUCGCCGUACGUUGCGUUCGGUUGCGACAUGAAAACCUCCUUCGCCGGAACUCUCUUCCGUUUUCCUCUUAGGAAUGCGCAUCAGGCUGCCACCAGCAAGCUCUCGAGGCAAGCGUAUUUCGACGACGACAUAUUGUCUAUGUUUAAUCAGCUUUUCGAAGAAGGGGUUCUUUCUCUACUGUUUCUCAAAAAUGUGCUUUCUAUAGAGAUGUACGUGUGGGAUAAGGGAGAGAAUGAGCCAAGGAAGCUUUAUUCAUGUGGUGUUUGUGUCCUAAAUGAUGAUGUUAUUUGGCAUCGGCAAGCACUUUUGAGGUUGUCGAAAAGGAGUUCUGAUGGGUUGGUGGAGGAGAGUGAGAUGGAUGGAUAUUGUGUGGACUUCUUGAGUGAGGCAUUUUGUGGUAGUGAAGUUAAGAAGAGGAUUGGUAGGUUUUAUGUAGUUCAAACUAUGGCAUCAGCAAAUAGCAGAAUUGUUUCUUUUGCUGCUAAGGCUUCUAAAGAAUAUGAUAUCAAUCUCUUACCUUGGGCUUCUGUUGCAGCAUGCAUAUCAGAUGGUUCUUCCGAUAAUGACUAUCUGAAGCUUGGUCGGGCAUUCUGUUUUCUUCCACUGCCCAUAAGAACUGGGCUGAAAGUCCAUGUCAAUGGAUACUUUGAGGUUUCUUCAAAUCGUCGUGGCAUUUGGUAUGGAGCAGACAUGGACAGAAGUGGAAAAGUUCGCUCCAUCUGGAAUAGACUUCUUUUAGAAGAUGUUGUUGCUCCUGCCUUUAGACAUUUGCUGCUUGGUGUGCAAGGGUUGCUUGGUUCAAUAGAUUCAUAUUACUCUUUAUGGCCUACUGGUUCUUUUGAAGAGCCAUGGAACAUUUUAGUUGAGCAUAUAUACAGAAAAGUUGGUUAUGCGCCUGUUUUGCAUUCAGAAUUUGAAGGUGGAAAAUGGGUGACACCAGUUGAAGCCUUCCUUCAUGAUGAGGAGUUCAAUAAAAGCAAGGAACUUGGUGAGGCCCUGCUGAAGUUAGGGAUUCCUAUUGUCCAUUUGCCCAUUGCCUUGUUUGAUAUGCUUUUGAAAUAUGCGUCUGGUUUUGAGCAAAAAGUGGUUACUCCUGAUACAGUUCGUCAUUUUCUUAGGGAAUGCAAAGUCCUUGUGACAUUGAGCAAAUCUUACAAGCUUGUAUUGUUGGAAUAUUGUCUCGAGGACUUGAUUGAUGCUGAUGUUGGUAUUCAUGCUAGCAAACUGCCACUGCUUCCUUUAGCAAAUGGUGAUUUUGGAUUAUUCUAUGAAGCUUCCAAAGGGACCUCUUAUUUCAUUUGCAAUGAGUUAGAAUACAUGUUGCUUGAACAAAUAUAUGAUAAAAUAAUUGAUCGUGAUAUUCCUCUGCACAUACUUAGCAGACUUUCUGCUAUUGCAGAGUCAUCAAAAGCAAAUAUUUCAGUUUUCAGUAUUACACAUUUCCUGACCUUCUUCCCUAGAUUUGUACCUGCUGACUGGAGAUAUAAAAGUAAGGUUUUAUGGAAUCCUGAGUCUUAUAGUAAUCACCCAACCUCAUCAUGGUUUGAGCUAUUCUGGCAAUAUCUUCAAAAUCAUUGCAACAAAUUAUCCCUUUUUGGUGAUUGGCCCAUCCUGCCAUCCACAUCUCAGCAUCUGUACAGACCUUCUAGACAGUCAAAAUUGAUCUGUGCUGAUAAACUUCCUGUUUCAAUUCAUGAUGCCCUUGUUAAGAUUGGAUGCAGGGUACUUAAUACCACUUAUGGAGUUGAACAUCCAGAUUUGUCUCUUUAUGUAUGUGAAGCUAAUUGUGCUGGUGUCUCGGAAUCAAUUUUUGAUGCUGUCUCUUCACAUGGUGGUAUAACUCAAACAUUGUUUCAUAUUUUGAGAGAUGAAGAAAAGGAUG
RNAcentral lists this unclassified non-coding RNA (2415 nucleotides) under Hevea brasiliensis (rubber tree). The record is from RNAcentral. Lineage: Eukaryota; Viridiplantae; Streptophyta; Magnoliopsida; Malpighiales; Euphorbiaceae.